Long non-coding RNA from Tarenaya hassleriana, 601 nucleotides. RefSeq lists it as uncharacterized. The transcript is spliced from 3 exons. The record is from RefSeq and is a predicted model, not a curated record. NCBI's taxonomy places the organism in Eukaryota, Viridiplantae, Streptophyta, Magnoliopsida, Brassicales, Cleomaceae.
CAAAGUUUUUAGCGUCUGCACUAUCACCGGACCUAUUCACUAGCGACGCCGGAAAAUAUCGACGGAGCUGUUGCUCCGUACGAUUUGUUUUCCAGUAGAACGAUGAGAGAGAGAGAGAGAGAGAGAGAGAGGUUAAUGGCGGGAAACCGUUCGGGUCACCAUUUUUCUCGGAGAAAAUCUCCUUCCUUCGCUGGCCCCCCCAUCUCUCCCUCUUUCUGAUUCAUGGGCAGCCUACAAGAGGUCCCUUCCCUUUCCCGUUCCAUCUUUUUUUUCUGUUGGGGUUCUCCGUUCUAGUGCUUCAUCGAUUCAUCGAAAAGAGUCCCCACAUUGUCUGAUGACUGGAUGCGCAUUGGCAUUUGCUCUUUCAGAACAAUAUAUGAAAUUAUAAACCCUCUUGGUCGAGGAAGCAAUGUUUUCAAGAAAGGGUAGCAAAAUGAAGGAGGAAGAGAGGACAGAAAGGGCUAUAAGGAGCCUCCUAAAGCUUCCCGAGAAUCGAAGAUGCAUCAAUUGCAACAGUCUGGGUCCACAAUAUGUGUGCACAACCUUCUGGACUUUUGUCUGCACAAACUGUAGCGGAAUCCAGUAAGUCGUUUCUGCUCUC